CAAAGGAAUUGACGGGACCCGCACAAGCGGUGGAUGAUGUGGUUUAAUUCGAUGCAACGCGAAAAACCUUACCCACCUUUGACAUGUACGGAAGUUGCCAGAGAUGGCUUCGUGCUCGAAAGAGAGCCGUAACACAGGUGCUGCAUGGCUGUCGUCAGCUCGUGUCGUGAGAUGUUGGGUUAAGUCCCGCAACGAGCGCAACCCUUGUCAUUAGUUGCUACGAAAGGGCACUCUAAUGAGACUGCCGGUGACAAACCGGGGGAAGGUGGGGAUGACGUCAAGUCCUCAUGGCCCUUAUAGGUGGGGCUACACACGUCAUACAAUGGCUGGUACAAAGGGUUGCCAACCCGCGAGGGGGAGCCAAUCCCAUAAAGCCAGUCGUAGUCCGGAUCGCAGUCUGCAACUCGACUGCGUGAAGUCGGAAUCGCUAGUAAUCGUGGAUCAGCAUGUCACGGUGAAUACGUUCCCGGGUCUU
This 475-nucleotide ribosomal RNA is filed under the name uncultured Hydrogenophaga sp. Its description in RNAcentral is "bacterial SSU rRNA". It matches the Rfam family "Bacterial small subunit ribosomal RNA", at positions 902 to 1382 of the family's 1533-position model. The record is from RNAcentral. Lineage: Bacteria; Pseudomonadati; Pseudomonadota; Betaproteobacteria; Burkholderiales; Comamonadaceae.